Molecule: non-coding RNA, 2081 nt
Organism: Callithrix jacchus (white-tufted-ear marmoset)
Lineage: Eukaryota; Metazoa; Chordata; Mammalia; Primates; Cebidae
Source: RefSeq, a predicted model, not a curated record
AUGGAGUCGCAUCUGGGCAGCAUGAUGUGGAGCACCACUGAUAUUUGGGAGCCCCUUUGGGACUGGAGUCUGAAUCCAGCCAAGCGGCUUCCAAUGCCAGGCUCAUACCAGAUCCACACUUGGAGCAGAGGAAGCCACAUUGUAGUGGACAAUAAGGGCUUCCUGGAAUUGACACUCACCUUGGAGGAUGUAGAGCCUCAGGCCAAGUCAGACAGCAGGGGCCUUAAAGGCCACAAAGAGUCUUUUGGCCUUUGGAUAGUUCAGUGCUACAUUCUCUUCACCAGCCUUUUCUUCUUACUUAACUUGCUGCUUCUGAUGCUGACUGGGAGCAGAUGCUCCCAGGCACUCAAGACCUUUUAUGAUCUCACUGUGACUGUAUGUCAGACAAAUUCUAGACUGACAGAGUAUCGCCUAUGGGGCUGGAACACACAGGAUACCUUCAGUGUUUGCCAGAGGGACUAUGGAGCAAACCGGACAGACUGGAUCGAGCCGCUGCAGGAAGCAGGGAACGAUGUCAAUGCUCCCACAGCCCCGGCUCCGGGCUCCGAGUGGGGAGGGCGAGCCCCACAGCCUGCCCUGCGACGGCUACCUGGGCAGCAGCGAAGAAGAGCUGAAGGCAGGAGCCGCCGCCAUGGGCAGUUGCCCCAACAGCUCCGGGACCCCCUGGCGCGGGAGCCGUGGUCUCGGUUACGGAUCCCGCGGGCUGCUCUGCUAAGUGCUGGUGCUGCUGAACCCGCGCUGGGGCCAGGGCAAGACCCUGCAGCUCUUCCGGAGUCACGUGCAGCUCGUUCUGGCUGAGGCUGAAGUCUCCUUCACGCCCAUGCUCUCUGAGUGGCGGAACCACGCGUGGGAGCUGGUGCGGUCGGCGGAGCUGGGCCGCUCUGGUAGUCAGGUCUGGGGACCGGCUGAUGCGCGGGUGGUGAAUCCGCUCAUGGAGUGGCCUGACUGGGAGGCCGCCAUCCAGGGCACCUGUGCAGCCUCCCCGCAGGCUCUUGGCAACGCGCUGGCAGCGUCCUCGAACCAUUAUGCUGGCUGGGAGCAGGUUACUGAUGGAGACCUCCGGACUAACUGCGUGCUGUUGCUGUGCCGCCGGCUGCUGUCGCCCCUGAACCUGCUGUCACUGCACAUGGCUUUGGGGCUGCGCCUCUUCUCUGUGCUCAGUCUGACCUGGGGCUUCAUUGCUGACGUGGACCUGGAGUGCGAAGUAUCGGCGCCUGGGGGAGAUACGCUUCACUCUGGGCAUCUUCCUGCUCCUGGCAGCCCUGCGCACCUACCACGGCCGACUGGCCUACCUCCCUGUAGGAAGAGCCAGCCCCAAGACACCCGUCUUUCCUGUGGUAGUCCAGCAGGACCGGGUAGAUGCACACCUUGUGCCACUGGAGGAGCCAGUGCCCUCUCACUGGACAGUGGUGCCCGAACAGGACUUUGUGCUGAUGUUGGCACUGCUGCACUAGCACCUGGGUAGCGAGAUGUUCCCGGUACCCACGGGCCGCUGUGCCGCUGUGCCGCCGGUGUCAUGCAUCUGUUCUGCGUCUGGGGAGGCUCAUCUUGGGCCAUGCUGCUGCGCCUCUUCCUGGCCAUGGAGAAGGGCAGGUAAUACCCCUACUUGAUAUAUGUGCCUGUGUGUUGUCGCCUUCGGCCUGGAGCCCAAGGAUGGGAGGGGUGUGUUUGCAGUGGACGGGGAAUUGAUGGUCAGCGAGGCUGUGCAGGGCCAGGUGCACCCAAACCACUUUUGGAUGGUCAGUGGUUGUGUGGAGCCCCCGCCCAGCCAGAAGCCCCAGAAGAUGCCACCUCCAGAAGAGCACUUAUGACCCCAGGCCAUGCUGUGCCUUAGUGUCUACCGGUAGGACACUUCCUCCUUCCCCAGGGCUGCAGGGCUUGGCCACAGCUCCUGUGGGGUGGAGGGGACUCCUCUGAAGAAGGGGAAGAAGGUGCAGGCUAUGCUUUGGGAGGACAGGCCAGAACAAGGUCCUGGGUCAGGAGUCCAGCUACCUGGGCCCAGUUGCCUGUGUAAGGUCCUCCAGUUUGCUCUGAGACCCCCACUCCAUGAACCAAAUUCAAAUAAAGUGACAUCCCCAGCC